Molecule: long non-coding RNA, 928 nt
Organism: Oncorhynchus kisutch (coho salmon)
Lineage: Eukaryota; Metazoa; Chordata; Actinopteri; Salmoniformes; Salmonidae
Exons: 5
Source: RefSeq, a predicted model, not a curated record
GGUGUACCCAAUUACCCAAUAACCAAAACAAACGGAAAGGGAAUCGAUGGCAGCUAAUAGGCCGGCGACGACGACCGCCGAGCACCGCCUGAACAGGGAGAGGCACCAUCUUCGACGAGGGUUUGACGCUUGGAGCCAAGCAGGCCUUUCCCUACCUCAGCACAUUCAUCUCCUCCCUGAACCAGAGGAGGGAGACGGGAGGCAAUGGCAGCUUGGGUAUACACCCGGGUCUACCAGGAGGAAGACAUGGGAGGGAGCUACCUUCUAUUUCCUGGAGUGUGAUGCAGAAACAGAGGUUCUCCAUCGACACACUUCCCCCCGAGGUGAAGGCCCCGUUCCUCUCUGACCCUAUCAUCCCUCUCCUCACUAAAACCACCAAAGAGUUCCACUCCUCAUGAUGAGCUGCCCCCUCUGUCCAAGUGCUCCUGGUGGAUUCUGGCUGCCACCAAGAUGCAGCUAACAGCAUAUCCAAGCCCCCUAUCAUCUCCUUCACGGACUUCUACAGCAUCACCUUGGACCACAUUGAUAUCAUGGAGCAGUAUCGCACCUGGGCGAGCCAUGGGAACUCCAACAGUGAGUCACCAGUCCACAGGAGCAACACCCAUAUCCCGUAUUCAGAGCUAGGAGUUUUCCUGACCAGGACAUUUUCUGAGCCUUUCUUAUAGGCCAUACAUUCUUCUUGUUUAAAUGUCUUCAAUCCUGAACAGAGUUGGGAAGCCCUGCUGGGAAGAAUGUAAACCACAGCAAGUUGUUUUCCCGUUUCUGUAUUAAUCAGUAUCAGUAAAUGAUUGACAGCACAUGGUACAGAAAGCAGAACACACUGCACAUUCAGAAAGUAUUCAGAGCCCUUGACUUUUUCCACAUUUUGUUACAGCCUUGUUCUUAAAUGGAUUUUACACAAUUUCCUUCAUCAAUCUGCUACACACAA